RNAcentral lists this ribosomal RNA (574 nucleotides) under uncultured fungus. RNAcentral describes it as "eukaryotic LSU rRNA". The stretch from base 217 to 370 matches the Rfam family "5.8S ribosomal RNA". The record is from RNAcentral. Lineage: Eukaryota; Fungi.
AUUUAGAGGAAGUAAAAGUCGUAACAAGGUCUCCGUAGGUGAACCUGCGGAGGGAUCAUUACAAGUGACCCCGGUUUACCACCGGGAUGUUCAUAACCCUUUGUUGUCCGACUCUGUUGCCUCCGGGGCGACCCUGCCUUCGGGCGGGGGCUCCGGGUGGACACUUCAAACUCUUGCGUAACUUUGCAGUCUGAGUAAACUUAAUUAAUAAAUUAAAACUUUUAACAACGGAUCUCUUGGUUCUGGCAUCGAUGAAGAACGCAGCGAAAUGCGAUAAGUAAUGUGAAUUGCAGAAUUCAGUGAAUCAUCGAAUCUUUGAACGCACAUUGCGCCCCCUGGUAUUCCGGGGGGCAUGCCUGUUCGAGCGUCAUUUCACCACUCAAGCCUCGCUUGGUAUUGGGCAACGCGGUCCGCCGCGUGCCUCAAAUCGACCGGCUGGGUCUUCUGUCCCCUAAGCGUUGUGGAAACUAUUCGCUAAAGGGUGCUCGGGAGGCUACGCCGUAAAACAACCCCAUUUCUAAGGUUGACCUCGGAUCAGGUAGGGAUACCCGCUGAACUUAAGCAUAUCAAUAAG